GUGGGGAAUUUUGGACAAUGGGCGCAAGCCUGAUCCAGCAAUGCCGCGUGCAGGAAGAAGGCCUUCGGGUUGUAAACUGCUUUUGUACGGAACGAAACGGUCCGGGUUAAUACCCUGGGCUAAUGACGGUACCGUAAGAAUAAGCACCGGCUAACUACGUGCCAGCAGCCGCGGUAAUACGUAGGGUGCAAGCGUUAAUCGGAAUUACUGGGCGUAAAGCGUGCGCAGGCGGUUUUGUAAGACAGGCGUGAAAUCCCCGGGCUCAACCUGGGAAUUGCGCUUGUGACUGCAAGGCUGGAGUGCGGCAGAGGGGGAUGGAAUUCCGCGUGUAGCAGUGAAAUGCGUAGAUAUGCGGAGGAAAACCGAUGGCGAAGGCAAUCCCCUGGGCCUGCACUGACGCUCAUGCACGAAAGCGUGGGGAGCAAACAGGAUUAGAAACCCUUGUAGUCC
RNAcentral lists this ribosomal RNA (450 nucleotides) under uncultured bacterium. Its description in RNAcentral is "partial 16S ribosomal RNA". It matches the Rfam family "Bacterial small subunit ribosomal RNA", at positions 354 to 796 of the family's 1533-position model. The record is from RNAcentral.